RNAcentral lists this ribosomal RNA (136 nucleotides) under Salmonella enterica. RNAcentral's name for it is "partial 23S ribosomal RNA". It matches the Rfam family "Bacterial large subunit ribosomal RNA", at positions 2807 to 2925 of the family's 2925-position model. The record is from RNAcentral. RNAcentral also lists the same sequence under 2 other names. Lineage: Bacteria; Pseudomonadati; Pseudomonadota; Gammaproteobacteria; Enterobacterales; Enterobacteriaceae.
AGUUCUCCCUGAGACUUAGAGUCUCCUGAAGGAACGUUGAAGACGACGACGUUGAUAGGCCGGGUGUGUAAGCGCAGCGAUGCGUUGAGCUAACCGGUACUAAUGAACCGUGAGGCUUAACCUUAUAACGCCGAAG